UGUAUUUUUUGGACGGGACAGGAUAUGUUUAAAAGCUGGAUUCCAGACAAGCUGUCUUUCCAUUCCUCCCCUGCUGUGAGCUAUCUACUCACCCUGACGCAGUUCAUGGAUCUUUUUUGGCCACGGAUUGCCACACUGUUUUCUUUGUGGACAGCAGGGCAGACGGCCCCAGAUACACAUUGCAGUGUGGAAUGAGGUGUGUGGCCUUACAAAGAGUCUCUCUCUUAACCUUCCUAAGCCCCAGAGGAGAAGGGACAGUGGCAGACGUAACUUGGAAAACCAGGUACUGGAAUUUUAUCACUCUUCUUCCAAGACAGAAUUCCGAUGAGGGACUGUUGUGACUUUCUAAACAAAAGUCCCCCUGGAGUGAAGGCUCUGUCUCCACCACUGCCACAUCCUGCUAAUACAAGUACCAUGGAUGCCACCAAACCCUCGGUCCACUUCAGCUGUUUAAAUUCCUCUGCCAAAUGUAACACAGAGUCCAGGCUUUCUAAAAAUCAUGUUGUGGAGCAUCUCUAAUAAGGAAAAGGUCUCAAUGGAGCAACCACUGAGCUUUAAUUAUUCUCGAAAGAAAAAAGAAGUAAGCCUUGACAUAUUCUGAGUGGUCACAGUCCUGAGAAGCAGGUUGGUGACAAUCCUGUUUGACUUUCCCAUAGAGAGGAAAUGGAGGAAGAAUUCUUCCGUUAUAGCCCAAGGCUGUCAGCAAAGGUCUAUGACAUGGGCUAUUGAUUCCUCUGCCAAGUUAAAGGUAGGUGA
Molecule: non-coding RNA, 756 nt
Organism: Peromyscus maniculatus bairdii (prairie deer mouse)
Lineage: Eukaryota; Metazoa; Chordata; Mammalia; Rodentia; Cricetidae
Source: RefSeq, a predicted model, not a curated record